Molecule: ribosomal RNA, 733 nt
Filed under: Phaeothecoidea eucalypti
Lineage: Eukaryota; Fungi; Ascomycota; Dothideomycetes; Mycosphaerellales; Teratosphaeriaceae
Description: eukaryotic LSU rRNA
Rfam family: Eukaryotic large subunit ribosomal RNA
Source: RNAcentral
GAAGCGGCAACAGCUCAAAUUUGAAAUCUGGCGCAAGCCCGAGUUGUAAUUUGUAGAGGAUGCUUCUGGGCAGCGGCUAGUCUAAGUCCUUUGGAACAGGGCGUCACAGAGGGUGAGAAUCCCGUAUGUGAUUAGCAUGCACCCGUCACGUAGCUCCUUCGACGAGUCGAGUUGUUUGGGAAUGCAGCUCUAAAUGGGAGGUAAAUUCCUUCUAAAGCUAAAUACCGGCCAGAGACCGAUAGCGCACAAGUAGAGUGAUCGAAAGAUGAAAAGCACUUUGAAAAGAGAGUUAAAAAGCACGUGAAAUUGUUGAAAGGGAAGCGCAUACAACCAGACUUGCCGGCGGUGUUCCGCCGGUCUUUUGACCGGUCUACUCGCCGCCGGCAGGCCAGCAUCGUUUGGGCGCGCCAGAUAAAGGUUUGGGGCGGUGGUUCGCCGUUGCCCCUUACACAAUACGGCGCCGCCCGAGCGAGGUCCGCGCUCCGGCAAGGAUGCUGGCGUAAUGGUUGCCUGCGGCCCGUCUUGAAACACGGACCAAGGAGUCUAACAUCUAUGCGAGUGUUCGGGUGUCAAACCCCUACGCGUAAUGAAAGUGAACGGAGGUGGGAACGCAAGUGCACCAUCGACCGAUCCUGAUGUCUUCGGAUGGAUUUGAGUAAGAGCAUAGCUGUUGGGACCCGAAAGAUGGUGAACUAUGCCUGAAUAGGGUGAAGCCAGAGGAAACUCUGGUGGA